ACCUGGCGGUCCGAGGAGGCCGUCCAGGGGUGUUGCGUUCCGGUGCGUCCUUGCCGCCCGAGUUGCUGACCGCCUAAGUCAUUGCUUGAAAGCAGCCCCAUGGAGGGUGAUAGGCCCGUGUGGCGGCGCCCUUACAAAGGGUGUAGGCGGCUUGGGCGGGCGGGCGUCCACCGUAGAGUCGGGUUGCCUAGUAACGCAGCCCUAAGUAGGUGGUAAACUCCAUCUAAGGCUAAAUACUCCCACGAGUCCGAUAGUGCACAAGUACCGUGAGGGAAAGCUGAAAAGAACUCUGAAGAGAGAGUUCAAGAGGACGUGAAACCGUUAGAAGCUUAAACGGGUGGAACCGCGAAGGUUGAGCCAGGGGAUUCAGCUCGCCGGGGCGAGCGGUGCGUAUGGCAGGUCAGAGAUUGCUAUGUAUGACCGGACCCGUCGCGGAGUCGCGAGCGGGCACUGCCGUCGCCCGCGCGUUUUUCGGCGGGCUUACUUCUCCCUGGCGACAGUCGCCGCGACCCGUUCCGGGGGGCCCAAGGGCCGUGCCGCACUGGUAGUCUGGGC
This 555-nucleotide ribosomal RNA is filed under the name Lysmatella prima. Its description in RNAcentral is "eukaryotic LSU rRNA". It matches the Rfam family "Eukaryotic large subunit ribosomal RNA", at positions 119 to 550 of the family's 3401-position model. The record is from RNAcentral. Lineage: Eukaryota; Metazoa; Arthropoda; Malacostraca; Decapoda; Hippolytidae.